Molecule: ribozyme, 74 nt
Filed under: unclassified sequences
Description: HDV ribozyme from F. prausnitzii
Rfam family: HDV ribozyme from F. prausnitzii
Source: RNAcentral
GUUGCUCAAAAAUUGCAUAUCUCUUCGUGGUGAGCAGAAGGUAAUGUAAUGGCUAUUACGGUGGAAAUGAAUUA